Molecule: ribosomal RNA, 30 nt
Filed under: Bryopteris filicina
Lineage: Eukaryota; Viridiplantae; Streptophyta; Jungermanniopsida; Porellales; Lejeuneaceae
Description: partial 28S ribosomal RNA
Source: RNAcentral
CAGACCUCAGAUCAGACAAGACCACCCGCU